UAGAAAAACAGGACCUGAACCUGCACCAAAGAACUCAAAACUCUCCGUACUCCCACCUAUACUAUUUUCU
RNAcentral lists this transfer RNA (70 nucleotides) under Typhlosaurus lomiae. Its description in RNAcentral is "tRNA-Glu". The record is from RNAcentral. Lineage: Eukaryota; Metazoa; Chordata; Lepidosauria; Squamata; Scincidae.